UACGGAGGGUGCAAGCGUUGUCCGGAUUUAUUGGGUUUAAAGGGUGCGUAGGCGGCCCGAUAAGUCAGUGGUGAAAGCCUCCAGCUCAACUGGAGAACUGCCAUUGAUACUGUCGGGCUUGAGUACAGACGAGGUUGGCGGAAUUGAUUGUGUAGCGGUGAAAUGCAUAGAUACAAUCAAGAACACCGAUUGCGUAGGCAGCUAACUAGGCUGUAACUGACGCUGAGGCACGAAAGCGUGGGGAGCGAACAGG
RNAcentral lists this ribosomal RNA (253 nucleotides) under uncultured bacterium. RNAcentral describes it as "partial 16S ribosomal RNA". It matches the Rfam family "Bacterial small subunit ribosomal RNA", at positions 524 to 776 of the family's 1533-position model. The record is from RNAcentral.